Poeciliopsis prolifica (blackstripe livebearer) is the source of this 4440-nucleotide RNA transcript. It is a transcript of the gene named zinc finger protein 260-like, with no coding region annotated. The transcript is spliced from 8 exons. Lineage: Eukaryota; Metazoa; Chordata; Actinopteri; Cyprinodontiformes; Poeciliidae. The record is from RefSeq and is a predicted model, not a curated record.
UGCUAACAGAGAUGCUAACCUUACCACAGGGGCCGCGUUUCAUUGGCUGAUGCCCGCUCUACGUAGUAGCGCGGCUCCCACGUGCGUGGCCGUCUCACAAACACAAGCUAAUGUAGCCAGACUGCAUUGUGGACUUGCAGACCGGCAGAAAGUUUUCGCAGCAACAAUCGAAACGGAAUGGUUCUUCAUUGCCAGUGGGGUAUCUGUACUGGUGACGUCAGGUAUCGUGAUCGUAUUUGUGGUGGUAAAAUUCACAGAUUUCCAAAAUCAGAAGCAGAUUGUCUUGCUUGGAUCAGAGCUUGUGCACGACCGCAUGAGCAGCUCAACCUGAGUAGGAUCAACAAGAACAAAGGAGUGUGUGCUGGUCAUUUUGUCGGCGGGGAUGGGCCAACAGCGUCCCAUCCUUAUCCCACACAAGCAGAAGGAGUGCACAAAGCAAGGCCUGCCCGAAAAAGAGCAUCAGAAAGAGCGAGUAGACAAGACAGGAUUGGAGCAGAGAACUUGGAUACUUACGAUGCUGCGGUGAGCAAUGACGCAGACAAAGGGAUAGAGGUGCAAACAGAUGAACAGUGGAUUUCGCCGCUGGAUAUGCUGGCACUGACUGCAGAGUUGGAAAUGGCAAAAUCAGAAAUCAUCCGCUUACAAGCAAAAGUGGAACAUUUAGAAACAAACCUACAGAAAGAGAAGACGGCCGUACGGCAAGAACAGAAACGAAAACAAUUUGGAAGUCCAAAGUGCUGGAGAAAGGAAAGGACGAUGGAGGAGCCACCAGAUGGUGUGCAGACCGACUCUCAGCUUUAUGCAGAUAUCCAGCAAGUGUUGGUGGUCAAAGAGGAGAUGGUUGUUGAGGAGGAUGACUGGAGUCCCAGAGCAGACCAGGAGGACCAGAAGCCUCCUCAGAUUAAAGAGGAAGAAGAAGAGAAUGAGAUCACAGAGUUAACUUUCAGUCCUCUUCAUGUGAAGAAUGAAGACGAUGAAGAGAUACCUCAGCUGUCAGAGCUUCUUCCCAGUCAGACUGAGGGGAACAGAGACUCUGUGGAAUCAGAUGAUGACAAAAUUUCAAAUUGUUCUUCAGAGACGGACGUCAGUGAUGGAAACUGGGAGGAAAGUGAAGCUCAGUCAAGUUUAGACUCUGUCAAAAAUUACGCCAUUCCUGUUGGUGAUAGAAAAUGUGGCAAAAGUAAAAAGUUACACAUCUGUCCCGACUGCGGAAAAACAUUCAGAAGCAGGCAAGGUUGGUUAGGACACCACAGAAUUCACACCGGAGAAAAUCCUUUCAGCUGCUCCAUCUGCAACAAAACCUUUUCUUCAAAAGGAAACUUGCAAAAACAUUCAAAGGUCCACACAGGGGAAAGACCAUUCAAAUGUUCUAUCUGUGGCGUGGCUCUUAAAAGGAAAAACUCACUAAUUGAACACACAAGAAUCCACACUGGGGAGAAGCCAUUUCAUUGUUCUGUCUGUGGCCGAAGCUUUGGUUUCAGCUCGUAUCUAAAAGUUCACAUGAAGUGUCACUCUGAAGAAAAACCUUACAGCUGUUCUCUUUGUGCUGCUAGUUUCAAGAGGAAAAAUACUUUAUUGGCACAUGUAAAAACCCAUACUGGGGAGAAGGCUUACAGUUGCACAGUAUGUGGAAAAAUGUUCAAGUGGAAAGAAAGUGAAAUCCGACAUAUGAGAUCUCAUACAAAAGAAAAACCAUUCAGCUGUGCCAUCUGUCAAAGGAACUUUCCUUCCAAGAGAACCUUGAAAGAACACGCUAAGAUCCACUUAGAGAACAGACCUUUCAAAUGUUCUGUCUGUGACGCUGCUUUUAAGAAAAAGAGAACGUUGUCAGAACACGUAAAAAUCCACACGGGAAAAAAGCCUUGCAGUUGUCGGGUCUGUGGCCAGAAUCUCAGUUCCAAAUCAUAUUUAACUGUUCACAUGAGAAGUCACACAGGAGAGAAACCUUACAGCUGUUCUGUCUGUAAGGCCACUUUCAAAUGGAAGAAAACAUUUUUGAAACACUCAAAAAUCCAUGCAGCUCAAUAAUGAAGUCUGUGAGAAUGGACUAGUUAUGUUGUUUUCAGGUUUAAUACAUCAAAAUACUUGAAAUGUUAUUUCCAUAUACCUUAGGGGAAUUUCCCCCAGAAAUUAUCAUGUGAAGUCUUUGUACAGCCUUGUUGCUGAAAUGUAAUCUACAAAUAAACUUGACGUGAUUUAAAAUUGAUGUUUCAUCAAGACACCUUUGUUCCAGAGCACCAAGAUUAAUGUUACAAAUUCCAGAAGUUGAUCAACUUCAUGUUAAACAUAAUCAGUGUUUUAUAUUAAUAUUUUAAAUGUCUUUAUUGAGAGCACAGCGAAGCCAAAGUCAGUUCUUGAUUUGUGUUGUUGAAUAUAGUUGAUUCUGAUUGUGAUGUAUCUAAAUCUUUGUUUGAUUUAUCACAGGGAAGCUAAAUGUUGAAACUUUUUCCAGAUUUUUAAUGAAUGUGAAGGUGAAUGGUGAACCAGGUCUUUGUCGCUUACAGAGUGAGAUGUUUUCGUGUUUUAGUUUAGCAUAGAAUAUGCAGUUUUCCCAGUGAUUGUUGGUACAUGCAAAUGAAAGCUAGCAUAAGAAUUUUAAUCACUUUCUAAACGACAGCUAUUAUGAUUAAAAUUAGUUUCUUACUUCCUGCCAUUUUCAGAUUUGACUUUAUUUACUUAUUUAUAAUGACACUGAAUUAUAAACAAUGUCUAUUCCUUAUCCAACUUGCUUGGUUAAGUUUUUUCAUAAGUUUUUAUCAUCUACAGAAGUAAUAAUUUGUUAAAGCAUUAGCCAAGUGGCCUUAAUAGAAAAUGUCCAAAGAACUUUGCUUGUUUUAAAAGAAAAAGUUUGAACACAAACCUUCUUGGACUUUCUUUAAAAUUUCAAAUAUUGUAAAACGUGACAAAUAUGUUUGUCAGUCAAUGAUUUCAACCUGUUCACCAUUUACCAUCACUUUGUCUUCUGAUCUUUCCAAAUAAGCCACGACUUCCUCAGUAAUGUUGAGAUUUAUUUCGAGCUUUUAUUAUGAAGGCCAAUCCGACCCGGUAACUAACGACCGGAAGUGACCUCCGACUGUCAACAGAAGCAACGCGGGCAAGUUUAGUUUCCUUUUUCCCUUCGGUGAAUGACGUUACGUCGUUGAAAGUGUCCUACGAGUGUAAUAGAUUCUAUUAAAGGAAGUCCAGAGUGCUGGAGAAAGGAAAGGACGAUGGAGGAGCCACCAGAUGGUGAGCAGACCGACUCUCAGCUUUAUGAUGUCCAGCAAGUGUUGGUGGUCAAAGAGGAGCUGGUUGUUGAGGAGGACGACUGCAGUCCCAGAGAAGACCAGGAGGACCAGAAGCCUCCUCAGAUUAAAGAGGAAGAGGAGGAGAAUGAGAUCACAGAGUUAACUUUCAAUCCUGUUCAUGUGAAGAAUGAAGAUGACAAAGAGAUGCCUCCGCUAUCAGAACUUCUUCCCAGUCAGACUGAGGGGAACAGAGACUCAGAUGAUGACAAAAUUUCAAAUUGUUCUUCAGAGACGGACGUCAGUGAUGGAAACUGGGAGGAAAGGGAAGCUCAGUCAAGUUUAGACUCUGUAGAUAAUGACGGCGUUCCUAUUGGUGAUAGAAAAUGUGGCAAAAGUAAAAAGUUACACAUCUGUCCUGACUGCGGAAAAACAUUCAGAAGCAGGCAAGGUUGGUUAGGACACCACAGAAUACACACCGGAGAAAAUCCUUUCAGCUGCUCCAUCUGCAACAAAACCUUUUCUUCAAAAGGAAACUUGCAAAAACAUUCAAAGGUCCACACAGGGGAAAGACCAUUCAGAUGUUCUCUAUGUGGUACAGCUCUUAAAAGUAAAAAUGCAUUAAUUGAACACACAAGAAUCCACACUGGGGAGAAGCCAUUCAGUUGCUCCGUUUGCGGCCGAAGCUUCAGUUUCAGGUCGUAUUUAACUGUUCAUAUGAAGUGUCACUCUGAAGAAAAACCUUACAGCUGUUCUCUCUGUACAGCAGCUUUCAAAAGGAAAAAUGUCUUAUUGGCACAUGUGAAAACUCACACUGGAGAAAAGCCUUACAGCUGCUCGGUCUGUGGGAAGAACUUUGCCCACUGUGUGAGUCUAACAUGUCAUAUGAGAAGUCACACAGGAGAGAGACCUUACAGCUGCUCCGUUUGUAAGGCGACAUUCAAGUGGAAAAAUACAUUCACACAUCAUAUAAAAAUCCAUACUGAUGACUAAGCUGCCAAAACUUGAGAGAUAAGAUUGUGUACCAGUCCUCAGUUCCAGGCUUUGAGGAACUUGGUUCAACACACCUCAAUUAAUUAAUUUCUUAAUUUGUGAUGCAUUUUAUGGUAUAUUUUGCCUUUGAACUAUCAGAAUAGACAAGUAAGCAUGUUUUUAGAGGAUCUCUCAAAUAUUCACAUGCGUUUUUGGUCCCUAAUAAAAACCGGUUUCCACCAUA